CCUACGGGGGGCAGCAGUGAGGAAUAUUGGUCAAUGGUCGGGAGACUGAACCAGCCAAGCCGCGUGAGGGAUGAAGGUACAGAGUAUCGUAAACCUCUUUUGUCAGGGAACAAAGGCGGGGACGUGUCCCCGGAUGAGUGUACCUGAAGAAAAAGCAUCGGCUAACUCCGUGCCAGCAGCCGCGGUAAUACGGAGGAUGCGAGCGUUAUCCGGAUUUAUUGGGUUUAAAGGGUGCGCAGGCGGUCUGUUAAGUCAGCGGUCAAAGCCCGGGGCUCAACCCCGGCCCGCCGUUGAAACUGGCAGUCUCGAGUUGGAGAGAAGUAUGCGGAAUGCGCGGUGUAGCGGUGAAAUGCAUAGAUAUCGCGCAGAACUCCGAUUGCGAAGGCAGCCUACUAAACUGCCACUGACAUUGAUGCUCGAAAGUGUGGGUAUCAAACAGGAUUAGAUACCCUUGUAGUC
Molecule: ribosomal RNA, 459 nt
Filed under: uncultured bacterium
Lineage: Bacteria
Description: partial 16S ribosomal RNA
Rfam family: Bacterial small subunit ribosomal RNA
Source: RNAcentral